This 951-nucleotide unclassified non-coding RNA is filed under the name Hevea brasiliensis (rubber tree). Lineage: Eukaryota; Viridiplantae; Streptophyta; Magnoliopsida; Malpighiales; Euphorbiaceae. The record is from RNAcentral.
AAAAAAAAAAAAAGAAGAGGAAGACUUUUCUGCCAAUACCUUAUUAGGGCGCACAGCACGCGCCCUUAUUUUCUCCAUUUAUGGCAAAAUUUAUAUUUUCGCCACUAUUGUUGAACAAUCAGUGAUAAUUUUCAAUUUUGCUACUAUAAUAAUCUAUUUGCUUAGUUUUAGUGGCAAUCUCCACUAAUUAUUUGCCACAAAAACUUUAUUUUCUUUAGUGAUUGCAGGUAAUUAAUCAAAUUGACUAGCUAGAAAAUUUGGCAACAUGUGUGUAAUCUCCUUAAUUUCCUCUUUUAUAUAACUUAAAUCUUUUGGUUUUUCAUCAGAUGCAAAAGCUCAUUCAAGAGAAUGAAAAGCUGCGGAAACAGGUAAUUUUAAUUAAUUAAUUAUUGAUAAACCUGAUUUAGUGAAACUUGUGAAAGUGUAAAUUUUUUUCAUAUUUGAUAGAAUUUUAUGUAGUGAUUAACUAAUUAUAGAUGGAUGAGCUUCAACGAAGUUCAUCAUUGUCAAAAUCGACAAUGCUGGAGUUUAAUCCAUUCGAAAGGAGAUUCUCUGUUGCAAGAACUGACAAAACUGCUAGCUAUGACGGAGGAGAGAAGGAAGAAGAAAGUGAUAAUGAUAUUUCAGUGACUUCAUUGCAACUUGGGCUAUCUUGUGAUGGUAAUAAGAAGAGGAAAGCAAGUAAGAGUGAAUCCAUGUGCAAUGAUUCAGAAAGUCAAUUGAGCUCAGAGUGAUUCACCAUGAGAAGAAAUUUUUUAUGUAGUCACUAUCCGCACAACUAAUAGGAUUUAAUCUUUAAUAAAGAUGGGAUUCAUAUGAACUCCAUCAUGAUUAGUUACUACAAUAAAAUUGUUGUAAUACAACAACUGUACUUAAAAAUUUAUCUACUACGAGAGAACCUUUUUUAGUUUAUGGUUUCAAGAAGAAUAAAACACGGGUAUUAUAGUUACA